UUUGCAUUCAAUACAAGAGCAAUAGACACCACUCCAAGACACAAUCAAAGCGACCGAUCCACUCAAAGUCCCCGAAUCAACUCUAGUGAACUAGGACUUGCGAGAGGAUAUUUGUGUUCCAUUGUUGCUCUUGUUUGCUUGGCUUGGCUUUCUUUUCUUUCCCACUUCUUACUCUCAAGAGCUUUGUAAGCAAGGCAAGAGACACCAAUUGUGUUGUGGUCCUUGCGGGGUCUAAGUGACCCGUGAGAAUUAAGGAGAAAGCUCACUCGGUCUAAGUGACCGUUUGAGAGAGGGAAAGGGUUGAAAGAGACCCGGUCUUUGUGACCACCUCAGCAGGGACUAGGUUCUUUAGAACCGAACCUCGGUAAAACAAAUCACCAUGUUCAUCCGCUUUAUUUCUUGGUUGAUUUGUUUUCCCCCUCUCUCCCGGACUUGGUUUUAAUUCUAACAGUAACCCCGGCUUGUAGUUUGUUGUUUUAAGUUGUAAAUUUUAGAUUACGCCUAUUUACCCCCUUAGGCGACUUUCAAGCCCCAGGGGUGACAACGUCCCUCCUUGCUUAUGGGGAGCCCCAGGCCGUGCUGGCGAGCAUCGAGGAUCGUUUAGGCCUAGUUUGGGUAAUCUAGUAAUGAAAGGGAUUGAAGUGGAUUGAGAUGUAUUAUGGGAGUUUUUGAUCUAUUGGGGAUUUAUAUACUCUCCCAUCCCUCCAAACCACUUCAUUACUAGAGUACCCAAACUAAGCCCUAGGUGUCUAGCUUGCUCCAGACGCUCUCCCGAAGGCAACGACCCCCUGGCCCUGUGCAGGGAGUUGAAUGAGGAGAGCGAUGCAACUGAGAAGGUGUUGCGGGACGGCCUUGAUCGGCUUUCAACCAUGCGCCAAAGUCUAGCGUCGCUCACAAGGUCGCUAGCGAGCAGAUUCUGCCUUCUUCUUGACCAAAGGGAAGCGUGGGAGCAUUCCGUCAGUGAUCUUCCAGUAGCAAAAAGUGGGACCAUCGAUGCCCGCGCCAGUGCCGCGUUGAUCCAAAAUGCCUACGGCGCCCUAGUCGGAGCAGCGAGGAGUGAUGCGGAUUCGAUGACCCUUGCACGUGUUCAGAGCACGAAAGCGAGCUCUCACCUUCGUAUUCUGGAGCGAGGGAAAGAGGUCGUCGAGGCCCAAGUCGCGGUCUUGGAGGAGGAGCUGGGCAGUCAGACCAAGAAGGAGGAGAAAUUCCUACCCUACAUGCAAGAUAACACCUUUUAUUAGUCUCUUCUGAAGCUAGGGUCCGUUGCCUACUUCCUCCCUCUGAUUGCUCAUGUCUUCUCUGGUCAACCAUACAAGGGAAAUUUGACGCCACCGAGGGGAACUUCGUCAAGGUGCAAAGCCGCCUGGAGGAGCUAGAUAAGGAGAGGCAUCUCCUAUCGGAGGUGGUGAGCACCAUGUGUGUGCACUUCGGAGCACCUCCUUCGUCGGAGUCUGAAUCGCUCAUCUUGAGGGCCUCGCUAGCCUAGAGGAGCUUGAGAAGGAAUCCUUCUGCCAAGGGAUCUACCAGGUCUUCGCUGUCGUAACGUCUCACUACAAAGGGGGAUCGAGUUGGAGGACCUAAGCAAGCACUACUACGAUGCCUGGAGUGAUUCGAAUUUUGCUGGCAUGAUGAAGGCCGUGGAGCCUUUCGCUCGAAAGCUAGGAGCCGCCCUGCUUGGAAACACCCCACCUAGGGGGUUAAGGUGGAAGGGUACCAUUGUAAUGGCUGUGGAACAAAAAAGGGGGGGUUCCUUUCUUAUAGCAACUUAUCCAACUUCUCGUGAACUUCUGUGCUUACUAGAGCCUUGAGAGCGCUUUUCUUAAACAAGCCUAUAGCUAAAAAGAAGGCUUGCCACUUGAGUUGCGUUCGUUGAUGUAACACCCAAAACCCUGUGCUAGGUAUUAUAAAUGUCUCUCUAAAAGAUUUGAGA
Molecule: RNA transcript, 1930 nt
Organism: Zea mays
Lineage: Eukaryota; Viridiplantae; Streptophyta; Magnoliopsida; Poales; Poaceae
Exons: 2
Source: RefSeq, a predicted model, not a curated record